AAGGCUUCAGUACGACUAUGUCAGAACUAUAAGUCUCAAAGCCCCGACGAGUAGGGUGGCGUGCCGGUGAGCGUUGAAGGCCAAGACGUGAGUCAGGCUGGAGCCGCCGGUAGUGCAGAUCUUGGUGGUAGUAGCAAGUACUCUGGUGAACCAACCUGGAGCUGUGAGGUCUGGAUUAGGGUUCCAUGUCAACAGUGAUUGAACAUGGGUGAGUCGAUCCUAAGCCAACUGUGAAAGCAGUGACAUCCCGACAAUGGUGCAUUAGGGGGUGUGCCCGGCGCUCGCAUGCUCUAUCGCCUCCUCUCGAUAUUGGGCGUGAUAUGCGUAUCACGUUGGAUUGACCUCCUACGCUCGAGGGCCGUUGCUGGACGAACUAAGAUGAAAGAGAGGCUGCUUGGGCGAAGAGCUUGCACUGAGCGUUUGAGAUGCGCACACUAUGCUCUCUGCGUUGGUUCUAUGUCCGGCGAAAGGGAAUGGGGACUUUGUUCCUUGACCGGUCCCGGCACCCUCGAUAGGCUUUAGCCGUUCAAUGGUCCAUGCAAAUGGAACCAGGCCAUAGCCGCCGGCAGUCGCCCGAGGAAGAGUUUUCUUUUCUGCUUAACGCACGAGAUCAUCCCUGAAAACAGUUCGGCUGGCGAAAGGGUGCCCCGCUGCGGCAGAGCGCCACGACUGUCGUGCGCGUCUCGGUGUACCUGCUGGUCCGUGAAGACGUGGUCGAGAGGGUUGCACUUGUAUCAACGAAACGCCCGACAAGUUCGGGACGGACCGUACCCUAUAUCCGCAUCUGGUCUCCAAGGUUCGUAGCCUCUGCAGAGUCAGACACAUGUAGGUAAGGGAAGUCGGCAAACUCGAUCCGUAACUUCGGGAAAAGGAUUGGCUCUGAGGGCCGAGCUGGGCCGGGCCUUGCCAGCAAAGCAGUACCUAUAGUGACCGGAGUUUUAGGAGUGCGAGGGGCUCUAGUAGCUGCCUAUGGGCACGAACCAGUCUACCGCUCCGCUCCAACCACGAACGGCUGUGACGGCAAGGGCUCUGGGCGGGAGCAUUCAAACCGAUUGACCUCCAGCUCGUCUGGGUGGUGGCGGUGCUUCGUCUGACCCAUACGGCUCCAGCGGCCAGCGGCUAACUCAGAACUGUCAUGGACCAAGGGAAUCCGACUGUCUAAUUAAAACAAAGCGUCGUGACGGCCCCUGUUGGGUGUUGACGCGACGUGAUUUC
This 1215-nucleotide ribosomal RNA is filed under the name Niphargus longidactylus. RNAcentral's name for it is "partial 28S ribosomal RNA". It matches the Rfam family "Eukaryotic large subunit ribosomal RNA", at positions 1363 to 2198 of the family's 3401-position model. The record is from RNAcentral. Lineage: Eukaryota; Metazoa; Arthropoda; Malacostraca; Amphipoda; Niphargidae.